CCUACGGGUGGCAGCAGUGGGGAAUAUUGCACAAUGGGGGAAACCCUGAUGCAGCCACGCCGCGUGAGUGACGAAGUAUUUCGGUAUGUAAAGCUCUAUCAGCAGGGAAGAAGAAAGACGGUACCUGACUAAGAAGCCCCGCCUAACUACGUGCCAGCAGCCGCGGUAAUACGUAGGGGGCAGGCGUUAUCCGGAUUUACGGGGUGUAAAGGGAGCGUAGACGGCUGUGCAGGUAUGAGGUGAAAGCCCGUGGCUCAACCGCGGAACUGCUUUGGAAACUGUAUAGCUUGAGUGCUGGUGAGGCAGGCGGAAUGCGUAGUGUAGCGGUGAAAUGCGUAGAUAUUAGGCAGAACACCAGUGGCGAAGGCGGCCUGCGAGACAGAAACUGACGCUGAGGCUCGAAAGCGUGGGGAGCAAACAGGAUUAGAUACCCGUGUAGUC
RNAcentral lists this ribosomal RNA (441 nucleotides) under uncultured bacterium. Its description in RNAcentral is "partial 16S ribosomal RNA". It matches the Rfam family "Bacterial small subunit ribosomal RNA", at positions 338 to 795 of the family's 1533-position model. The record is from RNAcentral.